GAUGAACGCUGGCGGCGUGCCUAAUACAUGCAAGUCGAGCGAACAGACGAGGAGCUUGCUCCUCUGACGUUAGCGGCGGACGGGUGAGUAACACGUGGAUAACCUACCUAUAAGACUGGGAUAACUUCAGGAAACCGGAGCUAAUACCGGAUAAUAUAUUGAACCGCAUGGUUCAAUAGUGAAAGACGGUUUUGCUGUCACUUAUAGAUGGAUCCGCGCCGCAUUAGCUAGUUGGUAAGGUAACGGCUUACCAAGGCAACGAUGCGUAGCCGACCUGAGAGGUGGUUCGGCCACACUGGAACUGAGACACGGUCCAGACUCCUACGGGAGGCAGCAGUAGGGAAUCUUCCGCAAUGGGCGAAAGCCUGACGGAGCAACGCCGCGUGAGUGAUGAAGGUCUUCGGAUCGUAAAACUCUGUUAUUAGGGAAGAACAAAUGUGUAAGUAACUAUGCACGUCUUGACGGUACCUAAUCAGAAAGCCACGGCUAACUACGUG
This 497-nucleotide ribosomal RNA is filed under the name uncultured bacterium. RNAcentral's name for it is "partial 16S ribosomal RNA". It matches the Rfam family "Bacterial small subunit ribosomal RNA", at positions 28 to 507 of the family's 1533-position model. The record is from RNAcentral.